GGUGUCGCUCUACCAACUUAAGCUACUGUUCUUACUCAUAUUCACCAUUUUUUAUGUCUUAAUUUUCUUAUGCAAUGCAUGUCUAAUUAAUUAUUGUCAGAUUAUUAUUUUUAGUGACUUAUCUUUUAUUUUUAUUUUAUUUUACUUUUAGCCUUCACUUUAAUGUUUUAUUUUAAUUAUGUCUUGUUGUGUUUAAUUUCUAUUUUAAUUCAAUCAUUAGCAUUCACAAACAUUUUCAC
This 239-nucleotide long non-coding RNA is filed under the name Vigna radiata. RNAcentral describes it as "long non-coding RNA (VRAD_LNC001914)". The record is from RNAcentral. Lineage: Eukaryota; Viridiplantae; Streptophyta; Magnoliopsida; Fabales; Fabaceae.